GACGAACCGUGCGAACGUUGUUCGGAAUCACUGGGCUUAAAGGGCGCGUAGGCGGGCCACCAAGUCAGGGGUGAAAUCCCACGGCUCAACCGUGGAAGUGCCCUUGAUACUGGUGGCCUCGAGGGAGGCAGGGGCGUGCGGAACUUUGGGUGGAGCGGUGAAAUGCGUAGAUAUCCAAAGGAACACCGGUGGCGAAAGCGGCGCGCUGGACCUCUUCUGACGCUGAGGCGCGAAGGCCAGGGGAGCAAACGGG
This 253-nucleotide ribosomal RNA is filed under the name uncultured bacterium. RNAcentral's name for it is "partial 16S ribosomal RNA". It matches the Rfam family "Bacterial small subunit ribosomal RNA", at positions 524 to 776 of the family's 1533-position model. The record is from RNAcentral.